This 232-nucleotide ribosomal RNA is filed under the name uncultured bacterium. Its description in RNAcentral is "partial 16S ribosomal RNA". It matches the Rfam family "Bacterial small subunit ribosomal RNA", at positions 104 to 334 of the family's 1533-position model. The record is from RNAcentral.
GGGUGAGUAACGCGUAUGCAACCUACCUUUAACAGAGGGAUAGCCCAUAGAAAUGUGGAUUAAUACCUCAUAGUCCUUUCGGUCCGCAUGGAUUGAAAGGUAAAGCCACCAGGCGGUUAAAGAUGGGCAUGCGUGACAUUAGCUGGUUGGUAAGGUAACGGCUUACCAAGGCUACGAUGUCUAGGGGUUCUGAGAGGAUGAUCCCCCACACUGGUACUGAGACACGGACCAG